Molecule: long non-coding RNA, 1075 nt
Filed under: Calidris pugnax (ruff)
Lineage: Eukaryota; Metazoa; Chordata; Aves; Charadriiformes; Scolopacidae
Description: lncRNA (ENSCPUG00000008096.1)
Source: RNAcentral
GUGUGUCUCUCUUUUUCUGUGUGUGUCUCUCUUUUUCUGUGUGUGUCUCUGUCUGUGUCUCUCUGUGUGUGUGUGUCUCUCUGUGCCUGUCUGCGUGUGUCUGUCUCUGUGCGUGUCUCUCUGUGUCUCUGUCUCUGUGUGUCUCUGUCUGUCUCUGUGCGUGUCUGUGUCUGUGUCUCUGUCUGUGUGUUUCUCUGUCUGUCUCUGUGUCUGUGUGUGCCUCUGUCUGUCUCUUGAGUGUGUCUGUGUGCCUGUGUGUGUGCCUCUGUGUGUGUGUGCCUCUGUCUGUGCCUGUGUGUGUCUCUGUGUGUCUGUCUGUGCCUGUGUGUGUCUCUGUCUCUGUAUGUGUCUCUGUGUGUGUGUCUGUCUGUGCGUGUCUGUCCUGUGUGUCUCUGUGUGUCUGUGUGUCUGUCUAUAUGUGUCUCUCUGUGCGUGUCUCUGUGUCUGUGCGUGUCUGUGUCUAUGUGUCUGUCUCUGUGCCUGUGUGUGUGUCUCUGUGUCUGUGUGUGCCUCUGUCUGUCUCUUGAGUGUGUCUGUCUUUGUGUGUCUCUGUGUGUCUGUCUGUGCCUGUGUGUGUGUCUCUGUGUCUCUGUGUGUGUGUGUCUCUCUCUGUCUGUCUCUGUGUGUGCAUUCCUGUGUGUCUCUCUUUGUCUGUCUCUUGAGUGUGUCUGUGUGUCUGUCUGUGCCUGUGUGUGCCUCUGUCUGUCUGCGUGUCUCUCUGUCUGUGUGUCUGUGUGUGUGUCUUCCCGGGGGGUGUUCCGCCACUCCUGGUGGGUUGGGCCGGCGAUGGGGAUAGAAGUGGAGACGAGCCCUCGGUGGGAGCAGGGGGGUUUAUGUGUAAGGGGGGUUGGGGGUGGGGAGGGGUCCCGUAGCGGUGGGGGGGUCCCGGUGGGGGGGCUCAGAAGGCCGGGUUGCCGAAGCCGAGCCGCUGCUGGGUGGCCUGGAUCUCCCGCAGCAAGGCAUCGUUCCUCAGGCCCAGCUGCAGGGGAGAGCGGGGAGGGGGGGUCAGGCAAGGCCAAGGGCACCCCAACACACACCCCCACCCCCGAGUAGGGGCUGCCCCCCACCGACCCCC